This 1071-nucleotide long non-coding RNA is filed under the name Lactuca sativa (garden lettuce). RNAcentral describes it as "long non-coding RNA (LSAT_LNC005437)". Lineage: Eukaryota; Viridiplantae; Streptophyta; Magnoliopsida; Asterales; Asteraceae. The record is from RNAcentral.
AGGAGCCAUAGUUUUUGCAUUGAAGAUUUGGAGGCAUUACCUUUACGGAACCAAGUGCACGAUCUUCACCGACCAUAAGAGCCUGCAACACAUCUUCGACCAAAAAGACUUGAACAUGAGGCAAAGGCGAUGGGUAGAAUUACUCAGUGAUUAUGAGUGUGAAAUUCGUUACCAUGCCGACAAGGCCAAUGUGGUAGCAGAUGCCCUUAUCCGAAAGGAGAGUACAAGCAACAAGGUGAAGAGUCAGUCGAUAACCAUCCAUUCCAACCUACCCAUGCAAAUCCGAGAAGCUCAGUUAGAAGCCCUGAAACCCGAGAACAUGUCAACUGAAGCUUUGAGAGGAAUGGAAAAGAAACUUGAGAUCAGAAGUGACGGAGUCCAUUGUUUCAUGGAUCGGAUCUGGAUUCCCAAGUCCGGAGGAUUUAGAGAGUUAGUCAUGGAGGAGGCACACAGAACCAGAUACUCUGUUCACCCGGGCUCUGACAAGAUGUACUUAGAUCUCAAGAAACAAUAUUGGUGGCCAAAUAUGAAGGCUGAGAUAGCUUCAUUUGUGGGCAAGUGUCUGACUUGCGCCAAGGUAAAAGUUGAACACCAGAAACCCUCGGGUCUGCUCCAACAACCUGAGAUACCUGAAUGGAAAUGGGAGAUGAUCACCAUGGAUUUCAUCACCAAACUACCCAAGUGCUCGAGUGGGUAUGAUACCAUUUGGGUGAUUGUCGAUCGUUUGACAAAGUCAGCUCACUUCGUUCCAAUCAAAGAAUCAUACAAGAUGGAAAGACUCGCACGGAUAUAUAUUCAGGAGGUAGUCCGACUGCACGGCGUACCUGCAUCCAUUAUCUCUGAUCGAGAUAGUAGGNAAGCAAUAUUGGUGGCCAAAUAUGAAGGCUGAGAUAGCUUCAUAUGUGGGCAAGUGUUUGACUUGCGCCAAGGUAAAAGUUGAACAUCAGAAACCCUCGGGUCUGCUCCAGCAACCUGAGAUACCUGAAUGGAAAUGGGAGAUGAUCACCAUGGAUUUCAUCACCAAACUACCCAAGUGCUCGAGUGGGUAUGAUACCAUUUGGGUGAUUGUCG